This is a long non-coding RNA of Coregonus clupeaformis (lake whitefish), 378 nucleotides long. RefSeq lists it as uncharacterized. NCBI's taxonomy places the organism in Eukaryota, Metazoa, Chordata, Actinopteri, Salmoniformes, Salmonidae. The record is from RefSeq and is a predicted model, not a curated record. The transcript is spliced from 3 exons.
GACGUUCUAUUUGUGCUGCGGUCAGUUAGGCUGUUUUGUUUGAUGCAGUGCUGCUAACAUCAGAAGCUGGUAUUUUUGGCCAGUAAGAGCCUUUGAAGCCACCGAGCCGCCGUUAUCAUACUCAUCCUUUCGGGGCUUUGAUUAAUGGAAGUGAAUCAGGGAAAAACUAUAUCCCGACAUUAAAAUAGCCAACAACGUGUCAACAAUGCCACGAUGUGCGGCAUAUGGAUGCAGCCAGCACCAAUUCAAGGUGCUGUUGACAAGUCUGAGUUGGAACCAGAUGAUCUUCCAGGCCUCAGUGAGGCAAGAGAACCAACAUUCAAUGUGAUUGUCAAAGAGGAGGAAGAAAAGGAGGAAGAGGAGGAGGAGGAGGAUGAC